Stegostoma tigrinum is the source of this 1611-nucleotide long non-coding RNA. RefSeq lists it as uncharacterized. Lineage: Eukaryota; Metazoa; Chordata; Chondrichthyes; Orectolobiformes; Stegostomatidae. The transcript is spliced from 3 exons. The record is from RefSeq and is a predicted model, not a curated record.
CAUCUAUAUUGUUGAGGUUGGUUGGCUCGCCGAGCUGGUUUCUUGUUUUGUAGACGUUUCGUUACCGUGCUUGGUAACAGCCUCAGCACAGCCUUUGAUGAAGCAUCGCGGAGAGGGGCAGGAAGAGCGGGAGCAGAGAGCGGAAGAAGUGGAGCUUGCUGGGAAGAUGAUCACAUAAUGAAGACGACGACAACUGCAGAGGAGCCACGGACCAAGGGACUGACCCUACUACAAACCAAGCCAGGCUAUUAAUGGAACGACAAAAAAAAAGGAUCAUGGAUGCAACAUAAUUUGGUGAAAAAUACUCUUUGAAUUUGCCUUGGACGUUUGACCUCUGAUUUGGAUAGCAUCAAUUUCUAGUGGCCCUGCAGCCAUGAUGCGGCCUUGGGCUUGGGGAUCCAUACCUGGCCACAUUAGGUGACUUGUACCUGAACGCUCUAAGCAGCCCAUAUAUGCUUACCAGAUAGCAGACAUAAGCUAAGCAAAACUGAGCAGCCUGCUCACGCAGUGAAAUACAACACCAGAAGUGGUAGAAGUGGACAGAAGUGCUAGAAACGUCAGUAAAAAAAAAAAGAGCAUUCCCACCCGAGACGGUUCUAAUAAAAGGAUGUCUCAGGAGAGGUAAGUGGCCAAUCCCAGCUUUAAUAAUGAAAGGAGGACUGUCAUAACAUUAAGGGGCUGGAUUAGGUCCUAUAGCAGCUGCAGAGUUAACAGCUAAAGUUACUUUGUAGUAAAUAGUUGCCUCUUUGAAGCUACCAACAAUAUUAAAUAGUUUCUAGCUAAAAAUGCUCUAAUCAAUGAAGUUGGUUUCAAUACAUAACCAGGAUAGAAUAUAAGCUUAGACAUAGUACGAAUUGCAGAUGCCCGAAAUGUCAGCUUUCCUGCUCCUCUGAUGCUGCUUGGCCUGCUGUGUCCAUCCAACUCUACACCUUGUUCUCUUAGAAUACAAGCUUAAAUGUUUAAGGCUUGUAUGUGAAGCUUAACUAGCCUUAGGAGACACCUCUUCUGCCCGGAACAAGAUAGAUUGAUCACAACCUGUCAAUUACAACAUGCUGACAGAAGUAGUUGUAUAACAUUACACUUCCAAUCAACUUUAUAACAGAAAUUAAACUUACAGCAGUUAAUUAAAACUGACACUUCAUAAUGUAAAGAGAGAGUUGGGACAGUAGGAAAUUAAGAGGAACUGAAUGUGAUACAAGACAGCACCAAAAUACAAUGGGUAAUAGAAUUUGAGAUGCUCUUACAGAUUAGGAAGCCAGAGAAAGGCCCGAAGGAGUUCAGCCACUAAACAUUUGGAAUGUGAUAUGAAUAGGAUGAAAAUUAAGAUCCCACGGCCAGGAGACUACAAUGUCUAGCUAAUACCAUAAGAUCAUGGGAACCUAAGGCUGUCCAUGGAUGUGUCCAUCACUGAUUAGAUAUCCUACAGGAUUGGGUGUUUGAAUUAGGGGGCAGGACGUUGUACUCGAUUGUCACAAAAUGUUUAAAAAUGCUGUAUUACUUUGUAAAAGCACAGGGUGUAUUAUUGAUCUAUCUUCCAGAGUCAGAUUUAUGGAAGAUCUUUAAACCAUCUCCCUGCACAAACCAGUUUCUGCUGGAAUAAACACCUUUCAC